AAGUCGAACGAUGAAAGCGGGAGCUUGCUCCUGCUGGAUUAGUGGCGAACGGGUGAGUAACACGUGAGUAACCUGCCCUUGACUCUGGGAUAAGCGUUGGAAACGACGUCUAAUACCGGAUACGACCUUCGGAGGCAUCUCCUGGGGGUGGAAAGAAUUUCGGUCAAGGAUGGACUCGCGGCCUAUCAGCUAGUUGGUGAGGUAAUGGCUCACCAAGGCGACGACGGGUAGCCGGCCUGAGAGGGUGACCGGCCACACUGGGACUGAGACACGGCCCAGACUCCUACGGGAGGCAGCAGUGGGGAAUAUUGCACAAUGGGCGCAAGCCUGAUGCAGCAACGCCGCGUGAGGGACGACGGCCUUCGGGUUGUAAACCUCUUUUAGUAGGGAAGAAGCGAAAGUGACGGUACCUGCAGAAAAAGCACCGGCUAACUACGUGCCAGCAGCCGCGGUAAUACGUAGGGUGCAAGCGUUAUCCGGAAUUAUUGGGCGUAAAGAGCUCGUAGGCGGUUUGUCACGUCUGCUGUGAAAACUGGAGGCUCAACCUCCAGCCUGCAGUGGGUACGGGCAGACUAGAGUGCGGUAGGGGAGAUUGGAAUUCCUGGUGUAGCGGUGGAAUGCGCAGAUAUCAGGAGGAACACCGAUGGCGAAGGCAGAUCUCUGGGCCGUAACUGACGCUGAGGAGCGAAAGCAUGGGGAG
Molecule: ribosomal RNA, 700 nt
Filed under: uncultured Actinomycetes bacterium
Lineage: Bacteria; Bacillati; Actinomycetota; Actinomycetes
Description: bacterial SSU rRNA
Rfam family: Bacterial small subunit ribosomal RNA
Source: RNAcentral